UCUCGUUCAGUUCCCACUCCCAUCUCUUCUCUUUCUCGCCGACGCAGAGGUUGCGCCGCCACCAUCAUCGCUCGGCCCCUUCCUCUCGAUCUAGCCAAUCUUCUCUCCCCUGCACAUCUGUUCGUCCCCUCUCGAAACCUCCCGUCCAAGCGACCUGGAGGAAACAGCCGCCCUGACAGCGCCGCCGCUGAAGGAACCUCAAGGAGCGCCGCUCCCCCUUAUCUCGCUCUCUCCACACCUAGCCAGGUGGGGACUCAAUAAUAUGAGAGGAUGAGGACUGGAGAAUGGGAAGAAGAGUCGAUCUAGAACAGGGUUGGAUGCCAUGGUCUGUUCGAUCUGGAAUCGUAGGACGAGAGGAUGGGGACUUCUACAGUUUAAUCUUUUGCUACUUGGAGGCGAGCAGAGGGAAGGCAUCCUAUUUUAUGGUUCAGAGGACUCGUGUUAUGUACUUUAUUGUCAUGCAACUGCUUCUGGUUUACAUCUCGCUAAUUGGAGGCAAAGAUGCCUAUGGACAACUGACUUCUUCUAUAGUUAUGCUCAAUCAACGGAUGCUCCGAAGCUCUGCUUUCAAGAUUUCAGGAGACCGAUCAGCUAGAAGACUAUCAACUCAAUAUGUGUCUGUAUGAUUUACACCGAAAAAUGACCAGAACUAUCAACUACGAAAAAGGAUUCAUUCUAACAUCUCAGGUACAUCCUUGCCUUUAGGUUGCCCAUGAUACGGUGUAACUCCGAUAAGGGAAACUGCUACUUUUGACAAAAUAAAUAAAUAGGUGCCAUAAUAUCAGUGUAUUGUUAGCCAAAAAAAUCAAUCUUGAGCUUAUAAUUUCUAGAUAUUUACAAAUUCAAUUUGUGUAACACUUAGUGGGAGGCACCAAUGAUAAACCUGGUCAUUGCGGGACUUCAACUUAGCUAAAAUUUAGGACAAAGGGCUAGGUGAUGCUACCUGUUGGUGUUGAAUGCUUGAGGCAUCCUCCUUCUGCUGUGGUGAUGCAUAGUGCAUUUUGAUUUUAUAAUGUUCCUUUUACACUGAUCUUCUAAAGUUAAACAUGUAAAUGCAGACAUGAAGUGUUUUUAUGAGAGCAGUACAACAACAAGCAUUUUUAGGUGGUUUACAAACUUCUGUAAGAUGUUCCCUUUUGUGGUGUUCAAGUUGUAAAGCAAAAUCAAUAUCUUUUGCUGGCUCAUCUUUUUUAAUUUAUUCUUUCAGAAAGAGAUAAGAUUUUUUUUUCACUUUUCAUAUUAUAAACCUAAUUAUGUCUCUUAGUUUUUGUAAAAUUUAUCAAUAACUAUCCCUGCUAAUCUUACAAUGUCACAGAAAUGAACAUUUAGUUGGAUAGAUUAUGUAAAUUACAUGAUAAUAAACAAGAGCCAUACUGAUAUAAUUGAGAUUAUGCAUUGCAGGUUUUUCUCCUAAUAUAGUGAACAUUAAUCUAACAUUUCUCAAGAUGGGUCAAAUCAGUUCAUGAGCAAGGACCAAGGUUUACAAAACGAUCAGUUGAUAAAACUGCCAAUGAGAUGUCAAUGCAGUAAAAUGAAGAAUAAUCGGCUUAUGAUGGGCAAGAACAAUUAGCAGCCAUCAAGACCAAAUAAGAAAAACCAAGAUCAAACAAGUUGGUGUGUGUGUUUCCGAUUUCAGUGCUAAGGGAGAUUGUUUAAGGCUGAUUGUACAACGUCUUUAGAGCUCUCUUUUUACCUUACAAUAUGAUGUUGUAGCCAAAACUCCUAGCAGAUUAGAAUCAGAUUAGUGACUGAUCUUACAAGUACAGUACACACAUUACACUACCGUGCUCUGUUUUGCUAAUGCAAUAUAUUCAGUUCGUUGUCCUUAAAUUGUAAGCAACUUAUUUCGUAUUUAACAGAUACAUUGCGUGUCAUCAUAUAUUUGGCGCGCAACACUUGUCUGCCCCUGUCAUUUCCUGCUCUGGUUCAUUAUUCUUUCACAAAGUGCAGAGUUCACUUACUGUAACUAUGCCCUUUUCACCUCUUUUUUAUAAAAAGAAGGAUAUGUACUUAAACUUGUAAUUAUGCU
RNA transcript from Triticum dicoccoides, 2029 nucleotides. RefSeq lists it as uncharacterized. The record is from RefSeq and is a predicted model, not a curated record. Lineage: Eukaryota; Viridiplantae; Streptophyta; Magnoliopsida; Poales; Poaceae. The transcript has 5 exons.